RNAcentral lists this ribosomal RNA (509 nucleotides) under uncultured bacterium. RNAcentral describes it as "partial 16S ribosomal RNA". It matches the Rfam family "Bacterial small subunit ribosomal RNA", at positions 28 to 507 of the family's 1533-position model. The record is from RNAcentral.
GACGAACGCUGGCGGCGUGCUUAACACAUGCAAGUCGAACGAAGAGCGAUGGAAGCUUGCUUCUAUCAAUCUUAGUGGCGAACGGGUGAGUAACGCGUAAUCAACCUGCCCUUCAGAGGGGGACAACAGUUGGAAACGACUGCUAAUACCGCAUACGAUCUAAUCUCGGCAUCGAGGAUAGAUGAAAGGUGGCCUCUACAUGUAAGCUAUCACUGAAGGAGUGGAUUGCGUCUGAUUAGCUAGUUGGAGGGGUAACGGCCCACCAAGGCGAUGAUCAGUAGCCGGUCUGAGAGGAUGAACGGCCACAUUGGGACUGAGACACGGCCCAGACUCCUACGGGGGCAGCAGUGGGGAAUCUUCCGCAAUGGACGAAAGUCUGACGGAGCAACGCCGCGUGAGUGAUGACGGCCUUCGGGUUGUAAAGCUCUGUUAAUCGGGACGAAAGGCCUUCUUGCGAAUAGUGAGAAGGAUUGACGGUACCGGAAUAGAAAGCCACGGCUAACUACGUG